This 1153-nucleotide long non-coding RNA is filed under the name Parus major (Great Tit). Its description in RNAcentral is "lncRNA (ENSPMJG00000012443.1)". Lineage: Eukaryota; Metazoa; Chordata; Aves; Passeriformes; Paridae. The record is from RNAcentral.
CUUCUUUAUUUCCCCUAAAUUCCAACUCUUAACAAACUUUUCCCCUCUAUUUCCCUGGGUUUUAUUCCCAAGCCUCAACUCCUGCCAGACUUUUUCCCCCUCUUUAUUUCCUCAGGUUUUAUUCCUAGAUUUCAAACCUUGACAGACUUUUCCCCUCUUUAUUUCCUUGGGAUUUUUUUCCCUUUCCAUCAAGGCAGAGCAGCAGGAAUGGGGCUUUUGGGAAGAGAAAGGUGCCUCUGGAAACACCCAGAUCUGGUCUCUGAACCUUCUCAGCACCUCCUCAAACCUUGAUUUAUUUAAUCAGAGCCAUUCCCAGGAUAAAAACAUAACAGGUUGUUGUUGAGGAAGGAGAGAACCCACAGUUAAAGUGACAGGCUCCCAUAUGGAGCAGAUUUCCAGCCAAAUUCCUCCUGAUUUCUGCUCAAGUCAGAGGUGAUCCCACACUGAGCCACAAGUGCCUGAAUUUUCCUGGACUUUAUUCCAGCAGCAAAAACGCUGAAUAACAUUUUUAUUAUUAUUUUUAUUAUUUUUAUUAUUAUUAUUAUUAUUAUUUUACAAUAUGAAAUGUGAAUUCCAGAUGUGGGGGUGUGUCUCACUGUGUGCAUUCCCUCCUUUCACUCCCUCUGUUUCCCUGUGGAUUUUGUCUGUGUAUUUCUGGAAUAAUGAACAUAGAUCACUGCUCUUUGUUUUUCCUCACCAAAACAGAGCUCUGGUGACUGAAGGAUGGUCCAACCUUGUCACCUCUGCUUUCCACUGGCUCGUGCAGCUCCUGGGGAUUCCAGCAGGAGCCUCUGGGUGGGAUGGAUCCCAGGGAAAUGGGCUGACUUGCUUUUGUUGCUGGCAGAACUGCUGUGUCGGUGUUGAAUUGAGGGAAGCAGUGGAAAUAAGGAAGCUGAAUGAUCAGUGUGCUUUGUUUGACAUCGUUGGUAACUCAAUACUCCUGGCUCAAGGGGGAGGAAUCCGUGCCUGGAGAUUGGAGAAAGCUCAGAUCCCAACAGGAGAAUGUGCUUUGAGAAGGGCUGGGUUGAAAAUUUGGGAUGUCAGAAAUCAGAUCCCGGAUUGGCAGAUAAGAACCAGCAAGGCUCAGAAACUACUGGAGCUUCUGGCUGAGGUAGCGGAGAAUUCUGGAACAAACAACUUGGGAAUGGCCUAA